Molecule: ribosomal RNA, 492 nt
Filed under: uncultured bacterium
Lineage: Bacteria
Description: partial 16S ribosomal RNA
Rfam family: Bacterial small subunit ribosomal RNA
Source: RNAcentral
AGUGAACGCUGGCGGUAGGCCUAACACAUGCAAGUCGAACGGCAGCACAGUAAGAGCUUGCUCUUACGGGUGGCGAGUGGCGGACGGGUGAGGAAUACAUCGGAAUCUACUUUUUCGUGGGGGAUAACGUAGGGAAACUUACGCUAAUACCGCAUACGACCUACGGGUGAAAGCAGGGGAUCUUCGGACCUUGCGCGAUUGAAUGAGCCGAUGUCGGAUUAGCUAGUUGGCGGGGUAAAGGCCCACCAAGGCGACGAUCCGUAGCUGGUCUGAGAGGAUGAUCAGCCACACUGGAACUGAGACACGGUCCAGACUCCUACGAGAGGCAGCAGUGGGGAAUAUUGGACGAUGGGCGCAAGCCUGAUCCAGCCAUACCGCGUGGGUGAAGAAGGCCUUCGGGUUGUAAAGCCCUUUUGUUGGGAAAGAAAAGCAGCAGGUUAAUACCCCGCUGUUCUGACGGUACCCAAAGAAUAAGCACCGGCUAACUUCGUG